This 407-nucleotide ribosomal RNA is filed under the name uncultured bacterium. RNAcentral describes it as "bacterial SSU rRNA". It matches the Rfam family "Bacterial small subunit ribosomal RNA", at positions 355 to 776 of the family's 1533-position model. The record is from RNAcentral.
UGAGGGAUAUUGCACAAUGGGCGAAAGCCUGAUGCAGCGACGCCGCGUGAGGGAUGACGGUCUUCGGAUUGUAAACCUCUGUCCUUGGUGAAGAAGAAAGUGACGGUAGCCAAGGAGGAAGCCACGGCUAACUACGUGCCAGCAGCCGCGGUAAUACGUAGGUGGCAAGCGUUGUCCGGAAUUACUGGGUGUAAAGGGAGCGCAGGCGGGCUUGCAAGUCAGCUGUGAAAUUCAAGGGCUUAACCCUUGACAUGCAGUUGAAACUACAGGUCUUGAGUGAAGUAGAGGUAGGCGGAAUUCCGAGUGUAGCGGUAAAAUGCGUAGAUAUUCGGAGGAACACCGGUGGCGAAGGCGGCCUACUGGGCUUUUACUGACGCUGAGGCUCGAAAGUGUGGGGAGCAAACAGG